GUGUCAGCCGCCGCGGUAACACGUAGGGGCCGAGCGUUGUCCGGAGUUACUGGGCGUAAAGCGCGCGCAGGCGGUCGUGUGCAUCGGUGGUGAAAGCCCCGGGCUUAACCCGGGAGGGUCCAUCGAGAUGGCACGACUGGAGGCAGGGCGAGGGCGGUGGAAUUCCGGGUGUAGUGGUGAAAUGCGUAGAGAUCCGGAGGAACACCAGUGGCGAAGGCGGCCGCCUGGACCUGACCUGACGCUGAGGCGCGAAGGCGUGGGGAGCGAACGGGAUUAGAAACCCCCGUAGUCC
RNAcentral lists this ribosomal RNA (292 nucleotides) under uncultured bacterium. RNAcentral describes it as "partial 16S ribosomal RNA". It matches the Rfam family "Bacterial small subunit ribosomal RNA", at positions 505 to 796 of the family's 1533-position model. The record is from RNAcentral.